GCUUAUUCUUCAAGGUUUGCCCAUCCUGC
RNAcentral lists this non-coding RNA (29 nucleotides) under Mus musculus (house mouse). Lineage: Eukaryota; Metazoa; Chordata; Mammalia; Rodentia; Muridae. The record is from RNAcentral.